RNAcentral lists this ribosomal RNA (468 nucleotides) under uncultured bacterium. RNAcentral's name for it is "partial 16S ribosomal RNA". It matches the Rfam family "Bacterial small subunit ribosomal RNA", at positions 28 to 507 of the family's 1533-position model. The record is from RNAcentral.
GACGAACGCUGGCGGCGUGCUUAACACAUGCAAGUCGAACGGAAAGGCCCUGCUUUUGUGGGGUGCUCGAGUGGCGAACGGGUGAGUAACACGUGAGUAUCCUGCCCUUGACUUUGGGAUAACUUCACGAAACUGGGGCUAUUACCGGAUAGGAGCUCCUGCUGCAUGGUGGGGGUUGGAAAGUUUCGGCGGUUGGGGAUGGACUCGCGGCUUAUCCGCUUGUUGGUGGGGUAGUGGCUUACCAAGGCUUUGACGGGUAGCCGGCAUGAGAGGGUUACCGGCCACAAUGGUACUGAGAUACGGCCCAGACGCCUACGGGAGGCAGCAGGGGGGAAUAUGGCACAAUGGGCGGAAGCCUGAUGCAGCAACGCCGCGUGCGGGAUGACGGCCUUCGGGUUGUAAACCGCUUUCGCCUGUGACGAAGCGUGAGUGACGGUAAUGGGUAAAGAAGCACCGGCUAACUACGUG